RNAcentral lists this ribosomal RNA (580 nucleotides) under Cochranella nola. RNAcentral describes it as "partial large subunit ribosomal RNA". It matches the Rfam family "Bacterial large subunit ribosomal RNA", at positions 1812 to 2603 of the family's 2925-position model. The record is from RNAcentral. Lineage: Eukaryota; Metazoa; Chordata; Amphibia; Anura; Centrolenidae.
AACAUCGCCUCUUGCCUAAAUAUAAGAGGUCCAGCCUGCCCAGUGACUCUGUUCAACGGCCGCGGUAUCCUAACCGUGCGAAGGUAGCGUAAUCACUUGUUCUUUAAAUGAGGACUAGUAUGAAUGGCACCACGAAGGUUAUACUGUCUCCUCUUUCUAAUCAGUGAAACUAAUCUCCCCGUGAAGAAGCGGGGAUAAACAUAUAAGACGAGAAGACCCUAUGGAGCUUUAAACCAUGUAGCACUUGCACUAAUUUUACACAAAUUUCAGAAAAAUCUACUCUACCCAUGCAAGAUUAUUACUAGUUUUAGGUUGGGGUGACCACGGAGCAAAAAACAACCUCCACAUUGAAAGGAACCCAAUCCUUAGCCAAGAACCACAUCUCCACGCACCAUUAUAAUGACAUUAAUUGACCCAAUAUAUUGAUCAACGAACCAAGUUACCCUAGGGAUAACAGCGCAAUCCACUUCAAGAGCUCCUAUCGACAAGUGGGUUUACGACCUCGAUGUUGGAUCAGGGUAUCCAGGUGGUGCAGCCGCUACCAAAGGUUCGUUUGUUCAACGAUUAAAACCCUACGUGA